GAUGAAGAACGCAGCGAAAUGCGAUAAGUAAUGUGAAUUGCAGAAUUCAGUGUAUCAUCGAAUCUUUGAACGCACAUUGCGCCCGGCAGUACUCUGCCGGGCAUGCCUGUUCGAGCGUCAUUUCAACCCUCAAGCCCUGCUUGGUGUUGGGGCCCCACGGCUGCCGUGGGCCCUGAAAGGAAGUGGCGGGCUCGCUACAACUCCGAGCGUAGUAAUUCAUUAUCUCGCUUAGGGCGUUGGGCGGCGCUCCAGCCGUUAAAGAACCAUCUUUAACUCAAGGUUGACCUCGGAUCAGGUAGGAAUACCCGCUGAACUUAAGCAUAUCAAUAAGCGGAGGA
Molecule: unclassified non-coding RNA, 338 nt
Filed under: soil metagenome
Description: partial contains 5.8S ribosomal RNA, internal transcribed spacer 2, and large subunit ribosomal RNA
Rfam family: 5.8S ribosomal RNA (bases 1-120)
Source: RNAcentral